AUCUAUGGCCAUGCCACCCUGAACAAGCCCGAUCCCAUCUGAUCUCGGAAGCUAAGCAGGGUGGGGCCUGGUUAGUACUUGGAUGGGAGACCACCUAGGAAGACCAGGUGCUGUUGGCA
This 119-nucleotide ribosomal RNA is filed under the name Pteropus alecto (black flying fox). The record is from RNAcentral. Lineage: Eukaryota; Metazoa; Chordata; Mammalia; Chiroptera; Pteropodidae.